UUCUCCUUGUCGUGCAUAUGCUCCCAUGCUCGGCUCCCUCCCUCUCCAAGGAGCAGCAAUGCCACGGCUGACGAGCUCGCACUCCUCUCUUUCAAGUCCAUGCUAUCCUCCCGCUUGCUGGAUUCAUGGAACACGUCAAGCCACUACUGCAGCUGGCCAGGGGUUGCAUGCGGCCGUCGUCACCCUGACAGGGUCAUCUCGUUGCAGAUGGGCUCCUUCAAUCUGUCGGGGCACAUCUCACCAUUCUUGGGCAACUUGUCCUUUCUCAGAGAGCUUGACCUCGGCGACAACCAGCUCAUCGGGCAGGUACCUCCAGAACUUGGCCGUCUCGGCAGACUUCAACUGCUCAACUUUAGCGCGAAUUUUCUCCAAGCGAGAUCCCAACUGAGAUUGGUGCCUUGAAAAAUCUGUACAUCUUGAACCUACAAGAGAAUGGAUUCUCCGGAGGGAUCCC
RNAcentral lists this ribosomal RNA (454 nucleotides) under Triticum aestivum (bread wheat). RNAcentral's name for it is "partial small subunit ribosomal RNA". Lineage: Eukaryota; Viridiplantae; Streptophyta; Magnoliopsida; Poales; Poaceae. The record is from RNAcentral.